RNAcentral lists this ribosomal RNA (774 nucleotides) under uncultured Marmoricola sp. Its description in RNAcentral is "bacterial SSU rRNA". It matches the Rfam family "Bacterial small subunit ribosomal RNA", at positions 8 to 796 of the family's 1533-position model. The record is from RNAcentral. Lineage: Bacteria; Bacillati; Actinomycetota; Actinomycetes; Propionibacteriales; Nocardioidaceae.
AGAGUUUGAUCCUGGCUCAGGACGAACGCUGGCGGCGUGCUUAACACAUGCAAGUCGAGCGGUAAGGCCCCUUCGGGGGUACACGAGCGGCGAACGGGUGAGUAACACGNGAGCAAUCUGCCCAUCACAUCGGGAUAACUUCGGGAAACCGAAGCUAAUACCGAAUACGACCACUUCAGGCAUCUGACGGUGGUGGAAAGUUCCGGCGGUGAUGGAUGAGCUCGCGGCCUAUCAGCUUGUUGGUGGGGUAAUGGCCCACCAAGGCUUCGACGGGUAGCCGGCCUGAGAGGGUGACCGGCCACACUGGGACUGAGACACGGCCCAGACUCCUACGGGAGGCAGCAGUGGGGAAUAUUGGACAAUGGGCGAAAGCCUGAUCCAGCAACGCCGCGUGAGGGAUGACGGCCUUCGGGUUGUAAACCUCUUUCAGCAGGGACGAAGCGCAAGUGACGGUACCUGCAGAAGAAGCACCGGCCAACUACGUGCCAGCAGCCGCGGUAAUACGUAGGGUGCAAGCGUUGUCCGGAAUUAUUGGGCGUAAAGGGCUCGUAGGCGGUUUGUCGCGUCGGGAGUGAAAACUCAGGGCUUAACCCUGAGCCUGCUUCCGAUACGGGCAGACUAGAGGUAUGCAGGGGAGAAUGGAAUUCCUGGUGUAGCGGUGAAAUGCGCAGAUAUCGGGAGGAACACCAGUAGCGAAGGCGGCUCGCUGGGCCACACCUGACGCUGAGACGCGAAAGCUAGGGGAGCGAACAGGAUUAGAUACCCCCGUAGUCC